Molecule: ribosomal RNA, 192 nt
Filed under: Cohnella endophytica
Lineage: Bacteria; Bacillati; Bacillota; Bacilli; Caryophanales; Paenibacillaceae
Description: Bacterial small subunit ribosomal RNA
Rfam family: Bacterial small subunit ribosomal RNA
Source: Rfam by way of RNAcentral
AUUAUGGAGAGUUUGAUCCUGGCUCAGGACGAACGCUGGCGGCGUGCCUAAUACAUGCAAGUCGUACGAAUCUAGAAGUUAGCUUGCUAACUUCUAGGUUAGUGGCGGACGGGUGAGUAACACGUAGGCAACCUGCCCCUAAGAUCGGGAUAACAUUCGGAAACGAAUGCUAAGACCGGAUACAUAAGUUGA